GGGAGGUAACUCUUGCUUCAAGCAAGUAAGGAACGCCUACUGUAAGACCUGUACCAAGGAAGAACCAUUACAGUGAAAUUGGUUGAUCUUUUCAAUAUCAAAUUUAGUGAAUCUUAAUAUUAAAUAAAAGCUCUGAUACAUUCAAAUGUUUUAUUAAUUGAAAACAAUUCUUAAAACAAAAUUUAAAACAAAUAAAUCAAAACUUGUCAGUCAGCUCAAAGCUUACAUAUGCACCAAACAUUUUAAUAGCAUCUAUAGCCUUGAGAGAUGUAUUCAUUUCAAUUUUUUCCCCGUUUGAGCUAGAUGAAACAUAACAUUUUAUCAGAGUUUUAUCCCCUAUGGUGAUAGGUUCAUUGAAUCUUGUAUUUAACGUGUCUCUUAUGCGGCUACGUAAAGGCUCUCUAGGAUCUGAGAAAAAGUUUCUGUGCCGGCGAGCGGAAAGGCAUAUGGAGCCAGAACGAUCCUUUUAUCUUUGAAAAGUGAAACACAAACGAUCUCGCUCGCCGGCACAUUUAUACUGGCCAUUUCUGCUGUCACAUGUAUCGAAGUCAAGAUCGCUUAAACGCUUUAAAUAAGGAGCGUACUUGUUAUUUAAAGCGCAAAAUAGAUUUGAGUAUAAGAAUACACAAAAACACGGCUGGAAAAACCCGGAAAAUACGGAUUUUCUACUGACGAACAAAAAAAAGUUUGUG
Molecule: long non-coding RNA, 692 nt
Filed under: Mytilus galloprovincialis (Mediterranean mussel)
Lineage: Eukaryota; Metazoa; Mollusca; Bivalvia; Mytilida; Mytilidae
Source: RNAcentral